Molecule: ribosomal RNA, 253 nt
Filed under: uncultured bacterium
Lineage: Bacteria
Description: partial 16S ribosomal RNA
Rfam family: Bacterial small subunit ribosomal RNA
Source: RNAcentral
UACGAAGGGAGCUAGCGUUGUUCGGAAUCACUGGGCGUAAAGCGCACGUAGGCGGAUGUGUAAGUCAGGGGUGAAAUCCCGGAGCUCAACUUCGGAACUGCCUUUGAUACAGCACAUCUGGAGUCCGGAAGAGGUGGGUGGAAUUCCUAGUGUAGAGGUGAAAUUCGUAGAUAUUAGGAAGAACACCGGUGGCGAAGGCGGCCCACUGGUCCGGUACUGACGCUGAGGUGCGAAAGCGUGGGGAGCAAACAGG